CGGUUGAAGUAGCCGGGAUAUGAUUUAGUAAGUUUAAAUAUUUAUUCAAAUAGAACCUAUGAUUCCCAUUAAAAUUGGUAAUGAGUGAACAAAAUUAUUGAGUGGGGAAGUUUUCCUAAGCUGACAUUUUACGAACAAAGAUAAAAUUGGAAUGACUAAAAAUAAAAUUUUCGCACAGAUGAAUACAGCUGGACUAAUGCGGCUAGAAGAAACAAAUUAACUGACAACUAGCCACGUGGUGAUGAAAGAGAACAUAAAGAAACCGAUGACAAAUUGUGAUGACACUUCUGGCAACUUUUUGAGAGUGUGAUGCUUUAGAAAGGGCUGCAUCAGGGCUACCUUUGCGCCUCUAAAGAGGCGUUUUUAAUCUUUUUUUUACCUAAUCCACUUUCUCUCCACUUUUUAAAAAUUGUCAAAAAAUCCCUCUUUUUGAUUUUUUAGUUCCUCUUUUUCCUCUUUUUUAAAAUUAUGUACGUUUGAUUAAAAAAAUUGACAUUUUUUUGAAAAUCAAGGAAAGUGUAACUUAGGUAUACCACUUUCAAUUGUAACGACUCAAUUGUAAAAAAAAAUAUCCGUUACUGUUGUUUCGUACUGUAUUGAUUUUAAUAAGAUUACUUUUGAUAAAUUUCUUGAAAAAAUUAUGCAGAGGUAAUGUUUUUGUAUUCUUCUUAUUAUGUAAAUACAAUUUUAAUUUUAAGAAAGUGUGUUAAU
Long non-coding RNA from Episyrphus balteatus (marmalade hoverfly), 711 nucleotides. RefSeq lists it as uncharacterized. The transcript is spliced from 3 exons. Lineage: Eukaryota; Metazoa; Arthropoda; Insecta; Diptera; Syrphidae. The record is from RefSeq and is a predicted model, not a curated record.